Molecule: transfer RNA, 100 nt
Filed under: Actinobacteria bacterium 13_2_20CM_2_66_6
Lineage: Bacteria; Bacillati; Actinomycetota
Also listed under: 2 other names
Description: tRNA-Sec
Rfam family: Selenocysteine transfer RNA
Source: RNAcentral
GGGGAUGUAUGGGGGCUGGUGCCUCCCGCAGUCUUCAAAACUGUUUGCGGGGCGCUGCUGAGGCGUCCUGGGUGGGUUCGAUUCCCAUCCAUCCCCGCCA